UACGUAGGGUGCAAGCGUUGUCCGGAAUUAUUGGGCGUAAAGAGCUCGUAGGCGGUCUGUCGCGUCGGCUGUGAAAACUCGGGGCUCAACUCCGAGCUUGCAGUCGAUACGGGCAGGCUAGAGUUCGGCAGGGGAGACUGGAAUUCCUGGUGUAGCGGUGAAAAUGCGCAGAUAUCAGGAGGAACACCGGUGGCGAAGGCGGGUCUCUGGGCCGAUACUGACGCUGAGGAGCGAAAGCAUGGGGUAGCGAACAGG
RNAcentral lists this ribosomal RNA (255 nucleotides) under uncultured bacterium. Its description in RNAcentral is "partial 16S ribosomal RNA". It matches the Rfam family "Bacterial small subunit ribosomal RNA", at positions 524 to 776 of the family's 1533-position model. The record is from RNAcentral.